CCAGAUCUGGAAGCGUAGUGAUGCGUUAAGGUGACUGGUACUAAUUUUACCGAGUAAUAACA
RNAcentral lists this ribosomal RNA (62 nucleotides) under Corynebacterium diphtheriae bv. gravis. RNAcentral's name for it is "partial 23S ribosomal RNA". The record is from RNAcentral. Lineage: Bacteria; Bacillati; Actinomycetota; Actinomycetes; Mycobacteriales; Corynebacteriaceae.